CCUACGGGAGGCAGCAGUGAGGAAUAUUGGUCAAUGGGCGCGAGCCUGAACCAGCCAAGUCGCGUGAGGGAAGACGGUCCUAUGGAUUGUAAACCUCUUUUGUCGGGGAGCAAAAGACGCCACGCGUGGCGUUCCGAGAGUACCCGAAGAAAAGGCAUCGGCUAACUCCGUGCCAGCAGCCGCGGUAAUACGGAGGAUGCGAGCGUUAUCCGGAGUUAUUGGGUUUAAAGGGUGCGCAGGCGGAAGAUCAAGUCAGCGGUAAAAUUGAGAGGCUCAACCUCUUCGAGCCGUUGAAACUGGUUGUCUUGAGUGAGUGAGAAGUAUGCGGAAGGCGUGGUGUAGCGGUGAAAUGCAUAGAUAGCACGAAGAACUCCGAUUGCGAAGGCAGCAUACCGGCGCUCAACUGACGCUCAUGCACGAAAGUGUGGGUAUCGAACAGGAUUAGAUACCCGAGUAGUC
RNAcentral lists this ribosomal RNA (459 nucleotides) under uncultured bacterium. RNAcentral's name for it is "partial 16S ribosomal RNA". It matches the Rfam family "Bacterial small subunit ribosomal RNA", at positions 338 to 795 of the family's 1533-position model. The record is from RNAcentral.